This 254-nucleotide ribosomal RNA is filed under the name uncultured bacterium. Its description in RNAcentral is "partial 16S ribosomal RNA". It matches the Rfam family "Bacterial small subunit ribosomal RNA", at positions 524 to 776 of the family's 1533-position model. The record is from RNAcentral.
UACGUAGGGCGCAAGCGUUGUCCGGAAUUAUUGGGCGUAAAGAGCUCGUAGGCGGUCUGUUACGUCCGCUGUGAAAACCCAGGGCUUAACCCUGGGCUUGCAGUGGAUACGGGUAGACUAGAGGCAGGUAGGGGAGAAUGGAAUUCCCGGUGUAGCGGUGAAAUGCGCAGAUAUCGGGAGGAACACCGGUGGCGAAGGCGGCAUCCUGGACCAACACUGACGCUGAGUGAGCGAAAGCCAGGGGAGCAAACGGG